Molecule: small nucleolar RNA, 204 nt
Organism: Octodon degus (degu)
Lineage: Eukaryota; Metazoa; Chordata; Mammalia; Rodentia; Octodontidae
Gene: SNORA74
Rfam family: Small nucleolar RNA SNORA74
About the family: U19 belongs to the H/ACA class of snoRNAs. snoRNAs bind a number of proteins (including dyskerin, Gar1p and Nop10p in the case of the H/ACA class) to form snoRNP complexes. This class are thought to guide the sites of modification of uridines to pseudouridines by forming direct base pairing interactions with substrate RNAs.
Source: Ensembl
UCCAGCAGUAGUCAGCCAUCCGGACAAACUCAUUGCCGUGAUGGUGUUACACUGCUGGGAGAGCAUUGUCUUGCCUUCUUUCUCUGGUGGUCUGUGUCGCUGUUCUGGUGGCAUAGGGCACUGGCAUAAGGCAUGACUGUGCUUCCUUGAGAGUGUGCUAAGCAUUCAGUUUGGCUGCUUGGUUCUAGUCUGGGAGCAAACAGU